Non-coding RNA from Pelobates cultripes (western spadefoot toad), 1414 nucleotides. NCBI's taxonomy places the organism in Eukaryota, Metazoa, Chordata, Amphibia, Anura, Pelobatidae. The record is from the annotation of a GenBank genome assembly.
CAGUAAUCCAGAUCAGAAGACACAAUGGAUCAGAGAAUGCCUGUGUGGGAAUCUCAUAGCCCCGAGGAGGACAGAGAGCAUGUCUGGGUGUAAAAAGGUGAUAACAGCCAGAGGGUAUUCAAUUAUUUCAAUACUUCUCUUUAUCAGCUUGUCAGAAAUGUUAAACUGGUGACAAUUUUUUUAUUUAUUUUCUUUUUCACUGUUGAAUUCAUUUUUAUGUAAAGAAAAUUACUAAAAAAAAUGUUUCUGCCCUCCAAAAACAUACAAACAAAACUACAAAACAAAAUUGGAAGACAAUUGUUUAUACUCAAUGUUCAUGCCUGUUUUUCUUAGUUUGCAAAAUACUUAAAGCUGAAAUAAACAAACGUGAUUUAUUCACUUAACAGUGAGCUACGGUUGUAUUAAGAACAAAAUGAUAAAAAAAAGUAAAAAAAAAAUACAGAACAAUCUCUGACAAUAAUAUUUACCAUUAUUUCUGUUUAAAUCUCAAUUUAUAAAUUUCUCAUUUACAGAAACUCACUGUUUAGUGAAUAUGUCCCUAUGUUCGCCUCUGGAUAACAUACUGUUGUGUGUCCUUGGCAGACUCCCGGCUAGCACAAUUUGCUUUUGGAAUAGGAUGCAACUACUGAGCAAACCUUAAUCAUUUCGAUUCAUUUAUAAUUCCUGUCUGAUCCUUACCAUUAAAACAAACGACAUUUUAUAAUCUCUAGCAUAAUCAGAUAUUUCCAAUUUAAAAUCAAGAACAGGAAAAAGAUGUCAAACAAAUCUUUUUCUAUUAACCUUUUCUUAGUAUGUAUGGGUCAAUAUUUACCACCACAAUUCUUACACCAACAAGAACCUUUUAAACCCUGUAUUUUCUUCCUCAUCAUGUCCGACAACUAUAAAGCAAACUUCAAAGAGUGUAUUCUUCCAUUUCAUGUAUUACUUCUUAACAAAGAUAACACCUGGGUUGUUUUAAAGUGUGGAAUGUGUCAACUAUCUACCAAUUUGUUCCAAGUGUAAACAGAUCGGAUUUCAAUCAAACUGGUAAAAUCAAUUUUUAGUAUACAAUAACAACUGACACCAUUUUAACUCAAUUCAAUAACAAUAUAAAAAAAUAAAAUUUUGAAUUAUAAUUAAAUAAUGGCUUUGCUGUGUUGAAUUGCAUAAUUAAAUUGUUUGUAAUUUCUCCAUACAGAGUGAAUCAAAAGUCAGGAAAAAUUCAGGCAUUAACCAAAUAUCAGAGAGAUGCAAAAGGUGCUAAAUGUUAAUGCAUUCAAAAUGGCGGUUUUCAAGAUGGUGGAGGAGUAGAGUAAAUGGGUAAUACUAAUGAUAAUAGGUAUUAAUAUUUAGGCCAUUGUUCUAACUGGUCAUUUAUUCUUUCUGAUACCCCCUAUACUGGGUAAAAGAAGGAAACAGUUUUAUAAGUACUGUG